UGUGAGCUCGAUGAGUAGGGCGGGACACGUGGUAUCCUGUCUGAAUAUGGGGGGACCAUCCUCCAAGGCUAAAUACUCCUGACUGACCGAUAGUGAACCAGUACCGUGAGGGAAAGGCGAAAAGAACCCCGGCGAGGGGAGUGAAAAAGAACCUGAAACCGUGUACGUACAAGCAGUGGGAGCCCCACCACUAAGCCAGUGGUGAACUCCACAUACGCAUCCUUUGCUGAGGAUACGGUUAACGGAGCGAAAGCGACGUUCAACCUCAAAAGAAGCAGAGGGGGCUUAGUGGUGGGGUGACUGCGUACCUUUUGUAUAAUGGGUCAGCGACUUAUAUUCUGUAGCAAGGUUAACCGCAUAGGGGAGCCGGAGGGAAACCGAGUCUUAAC
RNAcentral lists this ribosomal RNA (389 nucleotides) under Salmonella enterica. RNAcentral describes it as "partial 23S ribosomal RNA". It matches the Rfam family "Bacterial large subunit ribosomal RNA", at positions 398 to 688 of the family's 2925-position model. Lineage: Bacteria; Pseudomonadati; Pseudomonadota; Gammaproteobacteria; Enterobacterales; Enterobacteriaceae. The record is from RNAcentral. RNAcentral also lists the same sequence under 1 other name.